This is a long non-coding RNA of Microplitis demolitor, 301 nucleotides long. RefSeq lists it as uncharacterized. The transcript has 3 exons. The record is from RefSeq and is a predicted model, not a curated record. Lineage: Eukaryota; Metazoa; Arthropoda; Insecta; Hymenoptera; Braconidae.
UUUUGCGUCGACUGUCUUCUAACAAGCCUCAUUGUUGACUAAAUAAAUUUAUAUGACAAGAUGUUCAAGUUCACAUUUCUGAUGACAGCUAUUGCAGUCAUUAUGGUGACUGAUGUUUCUGCCCGUUGUAAAAGAGCCAUGAAAAGAUGUGAAAAUGGAGAUGAAUGCUGCAACGAACGUUGCGAAAAAUUAGGUGACGAACAGGUUUGUUACCCAACAGAGGAAGAAAUCGAUAGAUUAGGACUAGUAGAGCUCAGGGGUAGAACCAAAAAAUGAACUGCAGUAUCAACUCUAAAAAAGA